UCCGAUUUGUCACCGGCAGUCCCCUAUGAGUCCCCGUCUUUCACGCUGGCAACAUAGGGCAGGGGUUGCGCUCGUUGCGCCACUUAAGGCAACACCUCACGGCACGAGCUGACGACAGUCAUGCAGCACCUGUGCAGGCUCCCGAAGGAGCGCCGUGUUUCCACGGCUUCACCCUGCAUGUCAAGUCCUGGUAAGGUUCUUCGCGUUGCGUCGAAUUAAACCACAUGCUCCGCUGCUUGUGCGGGCCCCCGUCAAUUCCUUUGAGUUUCAGCCUUGCGGCCGUACUCCCCAGGUGGGGAACUUAAUGCGUUAGCUUCGGCACGGACGGAGUCGACACCGCCCACACCUAGUUCCCAUCGUUUACGGCGUGGACUAC
This 376-nucleotide unclassified non-coding RNA is filed under the name uncultured Gaiellales bacterium. Its description in RNAcentral is "contains 16S-23S intergenic spacer region". The record is from RNAcentral. Lineage: Bacteria; Bacillati; Actinomycetota; Thermoleophilia; Gaiellales.